This 499-nucleotide ribosomal RNA is filed under the name uncultured bacterium. RNAcentral's name for it is "partial 16S ribosomal RNA". It matches the Rfam family "Bacterial small subunit ribosomal RNA", at positions 28 to 507 of the family's 1533-position model. The record is from RNAcentral.
GACGAACGCUGGCGGCGUGCCUAAUACAUGCAAGUCGAGCGGACUUUCAAGAAGCUUGCUUUUUGAAAGUUAGCGGCGGACGGGUGAGUAACACGUGGGCAACCUGCCUGCAAGACGGGGAUAACUCCGGGAAACCGGGGCUAAUACCGGAUAAUAUCUUCCUUCGCAUGAAGGAAGGUUGAAAGGCGGCGCAAGCUGCCGCUUGCAGAUGGGCCCGCGGCGCAUUAGCUAGUUGGUGAGGUAACGGCUCACCAAGGCGACGAUGCGUAGCCGACCGGAGAGGGUGAUCGGCCACACUGGGACUGAGACACGGCCCAGACGCCUACGGGAGGCAGCAGGAGGGAAUCUUCCGCAAUGGACGAAAGUCUGACGGAGAAACGCCGCGUGAGCGAAGAAGGUCUUCGGAUCGUAAAGCUCGGUUGUCAGGGAAGAAAAAGUACCGUUCGAACAGGGCGGUACCUUGACGGUACCUGACCAGAAAGCCACGGCUAACUACGUG